This 556-nucleotide ribosomal RNA is filed under the name uncultured archaeon. Its description in RNAcentral is "bacterial SSU rRNA". It matches the Rfam family "Archaeal small subunit ribosomal RNA", at positions 321 to 879 of the family's 1478-position model. The record is from RNAcentral.
CCCUACGGGGCGCAGCAGGCGCGAAAACUUCACAAUGCGCUAAAGCGCGAUGAGGACAUUCCAAGUGCUUAUGCACUGCAUAAGCUGUUUAUUUGUCUAAAAAACAAGUAAAGUAAGGGCUGGGUAAGACUGGUGCCAGCCGCCGCGGUAAUACCAGCAGCUCGAGUGGUGGUCAUUUUUAUUGGGCUUAAAGCGUCCGUAGCCGGUUUAGUAAACCCUUGAGUAAAUCGUAUCGCUUAACGAUACGAACUUCGAGGGGACUGCUGAACUUGGGACCGGGAGAGGUCGGAGGUACUUUCGGGGUAGAGGUAAAAUUCUGUAAUCCCGGAAGGACCACCAGUGGCGAAGGCGUCCGACUAGAACGGCUCCGACGGUAAGGGACGAAACCCUGGGGCGCAAACCGGAUUAGAUACCCGGGUAGUCAAGGGCGUAAACGCUGCAGGCUUUGUGUUGGGGGUCCCACGAGGGCGCUCAGUGCCGUAGAGAAAUUGUUAAGCCUGCCGCCUGGGAAGUAUGGUCGCAAGACUGAAACUUAAAGGAAUUGGCGGGGGAGCAC